This 777-nucleotide ribosomal RNA is filed under the name uncultured Neocallimastigales. Its description in RNAcentral is "partial large subunit ribosomal RNA". It matches the Rfam family "Eukaryotic large subunit ribosomal RNA", at positions 18 to 644 of the family's 3401-position model. The record is from RNAcentral. Lineage: Eukaryota; Fungi; Neocallimastigomycota; Neocallimastigomycetes; Neocallimastigales.
UUCAGACGAUGCGUCAUGCAUAUCAAUAAGCGGAGGAAAAGAAACUAACAAGGAUUCCCCUAGUAACGGCGAGUGAAGCGGGAAGAGCUCAAAUUUGAAAUCUUAAAGGGUUUCCCUUUACGAAUUGUAGUUUAAAGAAGUGUUUUCUGUUGAGGUUUUGGUAAAAGUUCUUUGGAAUAGGACAUCAUAGAGGGUGAGAAUCCCGUAUUUGACCUUUACUUUCAACUUUGUGAUACACUUUACAAAGAGUCGGAUUGUUUGGGAAUGCAGUCCAAAAUGGGUGGUAAAUUUCAUCUAAAGCUAAAUAUUGGCGAGAGACCGAUAGCGAACAAGUACCGUGAGGGAAAGAUGAAAAGAACUUUGAAAAGAGAGUUAAACAGUACGUGAAAUUGUCAAAAGGGAUGCGUUUGACACCAGUGUUGUUUUUCUGAAAAUCAAUUAAAGAACUGUUUAUGCUAAGUUGUUUAGACUUUAUCAGCUAAUCUGUUUAGUUUUGAGCUUUUCUUUAAUGCACUUUUCAGUUAACAAGUCAACAUCAAUUUCUUUUGCUGUAAAAAAGCUUGAGGAAGGUGGCUUGAGAUUCGUCUUAAGUGUUUAUAGCCUCUUGCCUAUGCAGUCGGAGAGAUUGAGGUCUGCAGCGUAGAUCCUUCGGGGCUAAAUGCAUUUGUGCUAAGUUAUAGCAUUUCAUAGACAACUUGUUGACUAUGAUUUGUCUUGUAGCUUACUCGCUUAUGUUAUUUUACCUACGCUUAGGAUGUUGAAUCUGUGCGAGACUAC